This is a non-coding RNA of Pantherophis guttatus, 394 nucleotides long. Lineage: Eukaryota; Metazoa; Chordata; Lepidosauria; Squamata; Colubridae. The record is from RefSeq and is a predicted model, not a curated record.
CAGUCAGUGGAGAACUGUCAUAUGAUGACCUGAUUUGGCUUAUUCCCACAACCUUACAUUUUGCCAACCUGGAUAUUACGAGAGUGGAGGAAACUGCUAAAGUGACAGUAGAAUUACUUUCCAAAAUCCCUGACAAAACAUCUAUCCUUGGAAAAAUAGUUUAUCUGGCAUAUGGGACUAUGGUGAACAGGCAAUGUUCCACUUCUCGAACUUGUCAUCCUAAAUUGCUUGAGCCUCUCCACAACCUCCUAACUGAGGCAGUUCGGGAAAAAGAAGAAAGCAAAAUUGCAUUAGCUCUGAAAGCUAUUGCCAAUGCCGGUCAGAUCAGCAGCCUGAAACAAGUGAAACUCAUGUGUGAGAAUGUUAAAUAUCCUGAAUACAUCCAGGUCAUUGC